AAUGAACGCUGGCGGCGUGCCUAACACAUGCAAGUCGAGCGAGAAAGUCUCUUCGGAGAUAAGUACAGCGGCGGACGGGUGAGUAACGCGUGAGAAUUUACCCUUUAGUGAAGAAUACCUCUGAGAAAUCAGGGUUAAUACUGCAUACGUCCCUACGGGGAGAAAGGUGGCCUCUUUGCUGCCGCUAAAGGAUAAGCUUGCGUACUAUUAGCUAGUUGGUGAGGUAAAGGCUCACCAAGGCGAUGAUGGUUAGCCGGCCUGAGAGGGUGUACGGCCACACUGGAACUUAGACACGGUCCAGACUCCUACGGGAGGCAGCAGUGAGGAAUAUUGCGCAAUGGGCGAAAGCCUGACGCAGCGACGCCGCGUGGAGGAUGAAGGUCUUCGGAUUGUAAACUCCUGUUAAGUGGGAAGAAAGACCUAUUUCUAAUACAGAUAGGGGAUGACGGUACCAUUAGAGAAAGCACCGGCUAACUUCGUGCCAGCAGCCGCGGUAAUCUG
Molecule: ribosomal RNA, 501 nt
Filed under: uncultured bacterium
Lineage: Bacteria
Description: bacterial SSU rRNA
Rfam family: Bacterial small subunit ribosomal RNA
Source: RNAcentral